Long non-coding RNA from Uranotaenia lowii, 465 nucleotides. RefSeq lists it as uncharacterized. NCBI's taxonomy places the organism in Eukaryota, Metazoa, Arthropoda, Insecta, Diptera, Culicidae. The transcript has 3 exons. The record is from RefSeq and is a predicted model, not a curated record.
AAUUCGCAAUGAAAUUUUUACGAAGGCACAGGCAGUCGAACAAUUGUCCUGUAUUACGUAAGAUCGUCGCAUCUGUCAACCGUUUUCUACCGCGCUUUUUAUUUUUUUUAUCCUUUGCCAUCCUGUGCCAGCAGCUGUUAAGGAAUUGUAAUGUAUUUUCACGUUAGUUUUUGUCUAUCUUUUGAAAAUCAUCUAAUCCAGCAUUGAAAGUGCAACAAAAUGCACACAACGAAGUGCGGCCACAGUUUAAUGGAACCGAGGUGGUUGUCGAAGGCUGUUUUGCUACAAAUGAUUCACCGGUGGUGUUUGAAAUCGAAGAUUAAAGGACAUUGAGUUAACCUUUGCAACAUUUGCAGUACUUCAUCAGGUUGCUUGUCCAAAAACACCAAAUGGCUUCCAAGAACUGGAUGGAAAGGCUAAAGAAGGCAAAAAAUUGUGCUCAAACGAACACCCAGGCUCAUCCCU